GACGAACGCUGGCGGCGUGCCUAAUACAUGCAAGUAGAACGCUGAAGAGAGGAGCUUGCUCUUCUUGGAAGAGUUGCGAACGGGUGAGUAACGCGUAGGUAACCUGCCUUGUAGCGGGGGAUAACUAUUGGAAACGAUAGCUAAUACCGCAUAACAAUGGAUGACCCAUGUCAUGUAUUUGAAAGGGGCAACUGCUCCACUACAAGAUGGACCUGCGUUGUAUUAGCUAGUAGGUGAGGUAACGGCUCACCUAGGCGACGAUACAUAGCCGACCUGAGAGUGUGAUCGGCCACACUGGGACUGGAACACGGCCCAGACUCCUACGGGAGGCAGCAGUAGGGAAUCUUCGGCAAUGGGGGCAACCCUGACCGAGCAACGCCGCGUGAGUGAAGAAGGUUUUCGGAUCGUAAAGCUCUGUUGUAAGUCAAGAACGAGUGUGAGAGUGGAAAGUUCACACUGUGACGGUAGCUUACCAGAAAGGGACGGCUAACUACGUGCCAGCCGCCGCAGUAA
Molecule: ribosomal RNA, 513 nt
Filed under: uncultured bacterium
Lineage: Bacteria
Description: partial 16S ribosomal RNA
Rfam family: Bacterial small subunit ribosomal RNA
Source: RNAcentral